Molecule: non-coding RNA, 594 nt
Filed under: Alligator mississippiensis (American alligator)
Lineage: Eukaryota; Metazoa; Chordata; Crocodylia; Alligatoridae
Description: Eukaryotic large subunit ribosomal RNA
Rfam family: Eukaryotic large subunit ribosomal RNA
Source: Rfam by way of RNAcentral
AAAGGAUUACUGCUACCAAACGCUGCUCAGAAUGAGAGGAACUGCAGGUUUAGUCAUUUGGUAUAUCUGCUUGACUAAAAAGCCAGUAGUAUGAAGCUACCAUCUGUGGGAUUGUGACUGAAUGCCUCUAAGUCAUAAUCCCCUCUAAAUAUAACAAUACUCCAGUGCCGUGGAGUGUUGGUUGGUCCCAGACAGAGAUGACUGUAGGGGGGUGCAGGCCCCAGGGCAAAUCAGCCUGUGUGAGUCCCCUUUAACACUGCAAGAGACAGGGCUGCGGCCACUCCGCCUAGCUCCUGCCCAGCUCCGCAGGGCCCCCCAAAACACAGGGCCCAGGGCAGUUGCCCCAAUUUCUUCCCCACCCCCCACAAAGGAUGGCCCUAAUCUCAGAUAUUUGGUCACCCCCCAUGAGGGGGUAGGCAGAGCUCUUUCUUUUGGGACCAAAGCACAGACAGAAGAGAGCCACCUCUCACUGCAUGUUCAUGGGGAACCUGGUGCUAAAUCAUUAGAUGACCCAAGUCUGGGUCCGGGCUUUUUAUGUAGCACAGUAGCUACCUCACUGCAAUUUAUUAAAAGUCAGCCCUUGACACAAGCUUU